This is a long non-coding RNA of Astyanax mexicanus (Mexican tetra), 1783 nucleotides long. RefSeq lists it as uncharacterized. NCBI's taxonomy places the organism in Eukaryota, Metazoa, Chordata, Actinopteri, Characiformes, Acestrorhamphidae. The record is from RefSeq and is a predicted model, not a curated record. The transcript is spliced from 2 exons.
UCCGUCCCGUCUGCCUGAGUCACCACUAACCAGGAGAACGCCUAACCCCCCCUCACCGAAAAAACACCAACCUCUAUAAAAAUAACCACAGCAAACAAAUAAGUGUAAACAAAUUACUCUGAUCGAGCAUAACAUUAUGACCACCUCCUUGUUUCUACAUCUGUUAUUUAUUUUUUUCUGGCUCAACUGAUCAUUAAGACAUUCUCUAAUAAUUACAGACUGUAGUUCUGUAUCUGUUUCGCUGUAUACUUUAUUACUAUCCUCCUUUAACCCUGUUCUUCUCUAAUACUAAGUUCUGUGGAUAGCGUCCUGUAGGCAGCAUCCUGUAGGCAGCUUUUUGUGGCUAGCGUCCUGUGGACAGUGUUCUGUGGUCAGCUUUUUGUGGGCAGCGUCCUGUGGGUGGUGUUCUGUGGGCAGCUUUUUGUGGGUAGGGUAAUGUGGGUGGUGUCCUGUAGGGCGGUGUCCUGUAGGCUGCAUCCUGUGGGCAGCUUUUUGUGGGUAGGGUAAUGUGGAUGGUGUCCUGUGUGGCAGUGUCCUGUAGGCUGCAUCCUGUGGGCAGCUUUUUGUGGGUAGGGUAAUGUGGGUGGUGUCCUGUAGGGAGGUGUCCUGUAGGCUGCAUCCUGUGGGCAGCUUUUUGUGGGUAGGGUAAUGUGGGUGGUGUCCUGUAGGGAGGUGUCCUGUAGGCUGCAUCCUGUGGGCAGCUUUUUGUGGGUAGGGUAAUGUGGAUGGUGUCCUGUGUGGCAGUGUCCUGUAGGCUGCAUCCUGUGGGCAGCUUUUUGUGGGUAGGGUAAUGUGGAUGGUGUCCUGUGUGGCAGUGUCCUGUAGGCUGCAUCCUGUGGGCAGCUUUUUGUGGGUAGGGUAAUGUGGGUGGUGUCCUGUAGGGCGGUGUCCUGUAGGCUGCAUCCUGUGGGCAGCUUUUUGUGGGUAGGGUAAUGUGGGUGGUGUCCUGUAGGGCGGUGUCCUGUAGGCUGCAUCCUGUGGGCAGCUUUUUGUGGGUAGGGUAAUGUGGGUGGUGUCCUGUAGGGCGGUGUCCUGUAGGCUGCAUCCUGUGGGCAGCUUUUUGUGGGUAGGGUAAUGUGGAUGGUGUCCUGUGUGGCAGUGUCCUGUAGGCUGCAUCCUGUGGGCAGCUUUUCGUGAGUAAGGUAAUGUGGGUGGUGUCCUGUAGGGCGGUGUCCUGUAGGCUGCAUCCUGUGGGCAGCUUUUUGUGGGUAGGGUAAUGUGGAUGGUGUCCUGUAGGGCGGUGUCCUGUAGGCUGCAUCCUGUGGGCAGCUUUUUGUGGGUAGGGUCCUGCAGGCAGGGUUCUGUGUGCAGCUUUUUGUGUGUAGCAUCCUGUGGGCAGCGUUCCGUGGGCAGCGUCUUGUGGGUAGCAUCCUGUAGGUAGCGUCUUGUGGGCGGCAUCCUGUAGAAAGCUAUUUGUGGAUAACGUCCUGUGGGCGGCAUCCUGUAGGCAGGGUGAAAAUAUGGAGGAUAAUAAUACAGUAUACAGAGAAACAGAUACAAAACUACAGUCUGUAGUAAAAUAGAACUACAAUGUGCAUAACAGGUGAAGAAACAAUAAGGUGAACCUAAUGAAAUGCUUGAUUAGUAUAUAAGGCACUAUUAUUUACUGAUUACCUUUAUUUACUGAAAUCUCCUUAUCAGUUGUUGGUAGUUUUGGAGAGCAACGUUAAGCAGCUGUUACGCAUUUCCUCCUAAUUCUGCAUUAUGACCAGCGCAUGUGUUUUGGAAGUGCGUGACGUCUGCCUGACUUUGGCUCAGAAACUGCGGGUAAAAAUACUGAGGG